UACGAAGGGGGCUAGCGUUACUCGGAUUGACUGGGCGUAAAGGGCGCGUAGGCGGUUUGUACAGUCAGACGUGAAAUUCCUGGGCUCAACCUGGGGGCUGCGUUUGAUACGUGCGGACUUGAGUUCGGAAGAGGGUCGUGGAAUUCCCAGUGUAGAGGUGAAGUUCGUAGAUAUUGGGAAGAACACCGGUGGCGAAGGCGGCGACCUGGUCCGAUACUGACGCUGAGGCGCGAAAGCGUGGGGAGCAAACAGG
This 253-nucleotide ribosomal RNA is filed under the name uncultured bacterium. RNAcentral's name for it is "partial 16S ribosomal RNA". It matches the Rfam family "Bacterial small subunit ribosomal RNA", at positions 524 to 776 of the family's 1533-position model. The record is from RNAcentral.